GAUGAACGCUGGCGGCGUGCCUAAUACAUGCAAGUCGAGCGAACGGACGAGAAGCUUGCUUCUCUGAUGUUAGCGGCGGACGGGUGAGUAACACGUGGAUAACCUACCUAUAAGACUGGGAUAACUUCGGGAAACCGGAGCUAAUACCGGAUAAUAUUUUGAACCGCAUGGUUCAAAAGUGAAAGACGGUCUUGCUGUCACUUAUAGAUGGAUCCGCGCUGCAUUAGCUAGUUGGUAAGAUAACGGCUUACCAAGGCAACGAUGCAUAGCCGACCUGAGAGGGUGAUCGGCCACACUGGAACUGAGACACGGUCCAGACUCCUACGGGAGGCAGCAGUAGGGAAUCUUCCGCAAUGGGCGAAAGCCUGACGGAGCAACGCCGCGUGAGUGAUAAAGGUCUUCGGAUCGUAAAACUCUGUUAUUAGGGAAGAACAUAUGUGUAAGUAACUGUGCACAUCUUGACGGUACCUAAUCAGAAAGCCACGGCUAGCUACGUG
This 497-nucleotide ribosomal RNA is filed under the name uncultured bacterium. RNAcentral's name for it is "partial 16S ribosomal RNA". It matches the Rfam family "Bacterial small subunit ribosomal RNA", at positions 28 to 507 of the family's 1533-position model. The record is from RNAcentral.